CCUACGGGUGGCAGCAGUGAGGAAUAUUGGUCAAUGGACUCACGUCUGAACCAGCCAUGCCGCGUGCAGGAAGACUGCUCUAUGAGUUGUAAACUGCUUUUGUCCGAGGGUCAACGCAGAUACGCGUAUCUGUCUGAAAGUAUCGUACGAAUAAGGAACGGCUAACUCCGUGCCAGCCGGCGCGGUAAUACGGAGGAUUCAAGCGUUAUUCGGAUUUUUUUGGGUUUAAGGGUGCGUAGGCGGUAGGAUAAGUUAGAGGUGAAAUCCCGGGGCUUAACUUCGGAAUUGCCUCUGAUACUGGUCGGCUAGAGAGGAGUUGCGGUAGGCGGAAUGUAUGGUGUAGCGGUGAAAUGCUUAGAGAUCAUACAGAACACCGAUUGCGAAGGCAGCUUACCAAGCUACUUCUGACGUUGAGGCACGAAAGCGUGGGGAGCAAACAGGAUUAGAUACCCUGGUAGUC
RNAcentral lists this ribosomal RNA (460 nucleotides) under uncultured bacterium. RNAcentral's name for it is "partial 16S ribosomal RNA". It matches the Rfam family "Bacterial small subunit ribosomal RNA", at positions 338 to 795 of the family's 1533-position model. The record is from RNAcentral.